RNAcentral lists this ribosomal RNA (175 nucleotides) under uncultured bacterium. Its description in RNAcentral is "partial 16S ribosomal RNA". It matches the Rfam family "Bacterial small subunit ribosomal RNA", at positions 336 to 526 of the family's 1533-position model. The record is from RNAcentral.
CUCCUACGGGCGGCAGGCAGUAGGGAAUCUUGCGCAAUGGGCGAAAGCCUGACGCAGCAACGCCGCGUGGGGGAUGGAAGGCCUUCGGGUUGUAAACUCCUUUCAGUGGGAACGAAAUUGACGGUACCCACAGAAGAAGCCCCGGCCAACUACGUGCCAGCAGCCGCGGUAAUUC